This 316-nucleotide ribosomal RNA is filed under the name uncultured bacterium. RNAcentral describes it as "bacterial SSU rRNA". It matches the Rfam family "Bacterial small subunit ribosomal RNA", at positions 30 to 352 of the family's 1533-position model. The record is from RNAcentral.
AUUGAACGCUGGCGGAAUGCUUUACACAUGCAAGUCGAACGGUAGAGGGGGCAACCCCUUGAGAGUGGCGAACGGGUGAGUAAUAUAUCGGAACGUGCCCAGUCGUGGGGAUAACGUAGCGAAAGUUACGCUAAUACCGCAUACGAUCUAAGGAUGAAAGCGGGGGAUCGCAAGACCUCGCGCGAUUGGAGCGGCCGAUAUCAGAUUAGGUAGUUGGUGAGGUAAGGCUCACCAAGCCAACGACCUGUAGCUGGUCUGAGAGGACGACCAGCCACACUGGAACUGAGACACGGUCCAGACUCCUACGGGAGGCAGC